RNAcentral lists this ribosomal RNA (468 nucleotides) under uncultured bacterium. RNAcentral's name for it is "partial 16S ribosomal RNA". It matches the Rfam family "Bacterial small subunit ribosomal RNA", at positions 28 to 507 of the family's 1533-position model. The record is from RNAcentral.
GACGAACGCUGGCGGCGGGCUUAACACAUGCAAGUCGAACGGAAAGGCCCUGCGUUUGUGGGGUUCUCGAGUGGCGAACGGGUGAGUAACAGGUGAGUAACCUGCCCUUGACUUUGGGAUAACUUCAGGAAACUGGGGCUAAUACCAGAUAGGAGCUGCUGCUGCAGGGUGGGGGUGGGAAAGUUUCGGCGGUUGGGGAUGGACGCGCGGCUUAUCAGCUUGUUGGUUGGGUAGUGGCUUACCAAGGCUGUGACGGGUAGCCGGCCUGAGAGGGGGACCGGCCACCUUGGGCCUGAGAUAGGGCGCAGACUCCUACGGGAGGCAGCAGUCGGGAAUAUUGCACAACGGGCGGAAGCCUGAUGCAGAAACGCCGCGUGCGGGAUGACGGUCUUUGGGUUAUAAAAAGCUUUAGCCUGUGACGAAGCGUGAGUGACGGUACUCGGUAAAGAAGCACCGGCUAACUACGUG